Molecule: ribosomal RNA, 490 nt
Filed under: uncultured bacterium
Lineage: Bacteria
Description: partial 16S ribosomal RNA
Rfam family: Bacterial small subunit ribosomal RNA
Source: RNAcentral
AUUGAACGCUGGCGGCAGGCCUAACACAUGCAAGUCGAACGGUAACAGGAAGCAGCUUGCUGCUUUGCUGACGAGUGGCGGACGGGUGAGUAAUGUCUGGGAAACUGCCCGAUGGAGGGGGAUAACUACUGGAAACGGUAGCUAAUACCGCAUAACGUCGCAAGACCAAAGAGGGGGACCUUAGGGCCUCUUGCCAUCGGAUGUGCCCAGAUGGGAUUAGCUAGUAGGUGGGGUAACGGCUCACCUAGGCGACGAUCCCUAGCUGGUCUGAGAGGAUGACCAGCCACACUGGAACUGAGACACGGUCCAGACUCCUACAGGAGGCAGCAGUGGGGAAUAUUGCACAAUGGGCGCAAGCCUGAUGCAGCCAUGCCGCGUGUAUGAAGAAGGCCUUCGGGUUGUAAAGUACUUUCAGCGGGGAGGAAGGGAGUAAAGUUAAUACCUUUGCUCAUUGACGUUACCCGCAGAAGAAGCACCGGCUAACUCCGUG